GUUAUAUGGUCAAGCGAAUAAGCGCACACGGUGGAUGCCUAGGCGGUCAGAGGCGAUGAAGGACGUGGUAGCCUGCGAAAAGUGUCGGGGAGCUGGCAACAAGCUUUGAUCCGGCAAUAUCCGAAUGGGGAAACCCACUGCUUCGGCAGUAUCCUGCAGUGAAUUCAUAGCUGCUGGAAGCGAACCCGGUGAACUGAAAUAUCUAAGUAACCGGAGGAAAAGAAAUCAACCGAGAUUCCCUAAGUAGUGACGAGCGAACGGGGAACAGCCCUUAAGCUGGAAUGGCUUUAGAAAAACAAUCUGGAAAGAUUGGCCAUAGAAGGUGAUAGCCCUGUAUUUAAAAGGGCCACUCCAGUGAAGACGAGUAGGGCGGGGCACGUGAAACCCUGUCUGAAUAUGGGGGGACCAUCCUCCAAGGCUAAAUACUCCUGACCGACCGAUAGUGAACCAGUACCGUGAGGGAAAGGCGAAAAGAACCCCGGAGAGGGGAGUGAAAUAG
Molecule: ribosomal RNA, 499 nt
Filed under: Cytophagaceae bacterium
Lineage: Bacteria; Pseudomonadati; Bacteroidota; Cytophagia; Cytophagales; Cytophagaceae
Description: partial 23S ribosomal RNA
Rfam family: Bacterial large subunit ribosomal RNA
Source: RNAcentral